UUUCAUAGGUUGCGGAGCGGGCUCUCUACUUUUGGCAUAACGAAUACAUAUUAAGUCUAAUCGAGGAGAAUUCAAAUACAAUAAUGCCAAUCAUGUUUCCAGCAUUAUAUAAAAUAUCUAAGGAACAUUGGAACCAGACGAUCAUUGCACUUGUUUACAAUGUUUUGAAGACAUUUAUGGAAGUAAAUUGACUGGAAGUUAUAGACAAGAAAGACAAAAAGAGAAGAGGAAAGAAAAAGAAAGAGACGAGUUAUGGAGGAAAUUAUCGGAAUUGGAAUUAGAUCAUAAGAGUGGACAAUUAGGAGACGGAAGACUUUAACCUCAUUAUUAUAAAUAUAUUGUAUGAAAGAAACAAAGAUAAUAGCUCACACUGGUGAUACCACUGGGCGAAUUGAGCUUGGCACAGUUUAUACCAUUCGAGACAA
Tetranychus urticae (two-spotted spider mite) is the source of this 425-nucleotide non-coding RNA. The record is from RefSeq and is a predicted model, not a curated record. Lineage: Eukaryota; Metazoa; Arthropoda; Arachnida; Trombidiformes; Tetranychidae.